Molecule: long non-coding RNA, 621 nt
Organism: Culex quinquefasciatus (southern house mosquito)
Lineage: Eukaryota; Metazoa; Arthropoda; Insecta; Diptera; Culicidae
Exons: 2
Source: RefSeq, a predicted model, not a curated record
UGCUGCGUAAACUUUAUUUUCGCUUUUCCGUAACAGUCCUUGGAUCGUGAUUGUCCUCUUUCCCAGCAUAGGCAAGUAGAAAACUUGUUUCCCCUCUCUCGAAAUGGUCUGAGAAGUUCGACCUCUACCGGAGGAGGAUACAGUAGGCUAUCGCCUUUCGGCAGACUCUAAAUAUUCCGGUGCAUCACGAAGGAAGGCACGAUUUCAUCUGGACAAAGUACAUCGCCAAGUAGUGGAAAGUGAUGCGGAAGUGCCCCGCGGAAUGACCUGGAGCAGGCGAUCAUAAGCGUUGGAAUUAGCAAGUUGCCGAAGUUGUAGGUCAUGAGAGCUGAUUUUGUUGGUGAGACGCACUCCCCAAUCUAGCGGAAAUGUUCGGUUCGGAAACGGCAGACUAGUGAACGGACUCUCCGACGAAGCAGCGCUGCGAGUAUUGUUUGAGGUUAUCGAGCUUCGUGUGAGAGACUCCCCGGUGUCACCCAUCGUGAACUAGCCGCAACCAGCCUCUAUCGGACAGUCAGAUGGUCCUAAGAGUGCACCACUUAUAUGAGGAGUAUAUUUUAAAUGUAGCGAUUACGUAUGAAAUAAACUUAAUGAUUUUAACACAUGGGGGGAUGGGGAGCA